UACAGAGGUCUCAAGCGUUGUUCGGAAUUACUGGGCGUAAAGGGUGCGCAGGCCGCGCGGGCAGUCAAUUGUGUAAUUCAGGGGCUCAACCCCUGGACUGCGCUUGAUACUUCCGCGCUCGAGCUUUGGAGAGGAGUCUGGAAUUCUCGGUGUAGCAGUGAAAUGCGUGGAUAUCGAGAAGAACACUUAGGGCGAAGGCAAGACUCUGGACAAAUGCUGACGCUCAUGCACGAAGGCUAGGGUAGCGAACGGG
This 253-nucleotide ribosomal RNA is filed under the name uncultured bacterium. RNAcentral describes it as "partial 16S ribosomal RNA". It matches the Rfam family "Bacterial small subunit ribosomal RNA", at positions 524 to 776 of the family's 1533-position model. The record is from RNAcentral.